GCGAUUCCAGAACAUUUGGUUCCCUGACCAGGAAUCAGGAAAGAAGUGGCCCUUUUGGGCAUUGGCCCGAACUCCACCAGAGGGAGCAGCUCUUUGCCCCCUUGAGGGGAAUAGUAUGCCCCUGGUACUAAUUUCCUAGGCUCCCCAACAGGACACAGAGAACUGCUCACCAGUGGCAGAUCGCCUGAACCCAAGACAGAAGACAACAGAAGGAAGGCUGCUGUUAGUGGUGUCUCAUCUGUCUCUUUCCUUUGCUUGAUGGGAGCAGCUUCAUGGAAGAUGGGGUUCGUCAUGCUGGAUAUACAGUAACCACAAAGGAUGAGGUGAUCCUAGCCUGGGUCCUUUCCGUUUGGCUGGUCGCCACAAUGGGGUAAGCUGUGGCCACUCAUACAGGCACUCUGAUGGACAAAGGGUAAAAAGCCACCAUGAAGUAAACUGCUCUCCUUUGCCCUGCCCCUUUGCCAUGUUGUUUCUGUACUGAAGCCAAAUAACCAUGGACUAAAACAUCU
Non-coding RNA from Heterocephalus glaber (naked mole-rat), 509 nucleotides. The record is from RefSeq and is a predicted model, not a curated record. Lineage: Eukaryota; Metazoa; Chordata; Mammalia; Rodentia; Bathyergidae.